GAAAUAUUAAUCGAUGGAUGCAAAGAGCAAGGAAGUACAACUCAACUACCACUCAGACCACUUUAAGCUUUUAUAGUUAAUGCCUCUUUUCUCUUCCGCGUAUGUCAUGCACAUACAGGCAACAUAUUCAUGCGUUUGGCUCCUUGAAGCGCAUGGAUAUGGACUCGAGAAAGGUGAAAAACAAAACAACCGAUAGGCGAACACACAUUGUAGGGAGAAUAUGGAUUGCGCUGCUUCUAAAAAGAUGGGGACUAAAUAAAGAAUUGCGCACUUUCUGUGGCUCUAUGCCUAUUAGCCAUGUAAACAUGUAUUGCUGUUUGCUAAGAAUAUUGGCUGCUUAAUCCACACACAGGCCAUAAAAAAACAUUUGUUACAAAAAAAAAGAUAACCAGUGCAUAGACGCUUCAACCUGUCUUUCUCAUUGCUCAGGAUGCCAAUUGAGUGCCAAUCAGCCGCACCAUUUCCCAUUUAUAUGAAUUUUUUAAUUCCAAUCCUUUUUUUUUUUAAACUAAUUUUAUUUUUCUGUUGAGUGGAGAUCAGAGUCCAUACCGACACACCCUGAAGGAGAACAGCUCCGCAUACACUCCAGGAUAUCAUGUUGCUAUCGCAUCCUCCCACCUUUUCAGUCAUCGAAACAAACAUAUGCUGGGACUGGAUUCCAAAGUAACACGCUGUCGGCUGAAGAAUACCUUAAGAAAUAAAGGAGUAGAAAGCUGCAAUGUUCUAAAUCGUCCCGGCAUUUGAUGUUUAAACCACCGUCAGCCAAUAUAGGCAUCUGUGUGCGUUUGCUUGUGAUUGACAAAGCUGAUCCACUUUCAUGCGCCCAAAAAAGCAACCCUCCAGGGAAGUCUGCUCUCGAUAGUGAACGUGCAAAAACAGAAAUUAGGAAAUUGGCCUUCAAUUGCUUCCAGGAACCCUAAUACACUAUUGCUUCAUAAACAGAAUUGCUUACAGGAACACUAACUUUUGCUUCAUAAACAUCAGUCAAGCUAAGAAACAAUUAUGCCAACCCAGAAAUCCCAAUUGAAAAAAAUCCUCUUACGAAUGGUUGCUGAAACUUAUAACUACGCUUUCAUCCACUGUUCUAAACCAUCAAAACCUUAAAAGCAAACCCUCUUAUGACGUAACAGGACCUGUACCAUCAACUCAUUUCAUCACGUUGCAUCAUCCAAAGGACAAUCCACAACUGCAACCUCCAAUUUUACAACUAAACUUAAAUUUACAUACUAUGUAAAAUAAAGCAAAUUACUACUGAUUGUGCUGCUAAAUCCAACCCUCAAGGGUUAUUUUUAUAAUUUAUCCCUUUAACGCUAGGCGCCUGCUAGAGAUGGGUGGGAUCAACAACUGGACUAGUUUCUGACUUUAUUUGUGCAUGAUGCAGGUCCUUUUGUGUAUUAACUUCUUCACCACAAACACUUGUUGAUAGGGAAUGAGGUUGCUGGCUAGAAUUGUGUGGUUUUUGCUGCUUCUGCAAUUGUUGCUGAAAUAAGAUGAACUCAUCAGGCUUCUCCCACUGCAAGUCAAAGUUCAGAUACAAUGAUUAAAUCUUCUGGAAGCAUUGUCAACUCCAAUUGAGCCUAUCACUCGUGUUAAAAAGGGCAACAGUAACUAAACCUAUCAAAAUGCCAUUAAUAGCAUUUGGUGAUUUAGACACAGCCAACAUAUUAAAUCCUUCAAAACCUUUCUCCUCCCUCCAUCCCAACCAUAGAAUUUAGGUAACUGCAUUCUUCACCAUUUCAGUUCAAACUCCUUCACAGACUUUUCUACAUCUCCAACAUUGGGUCCAACCUUGCAAACUCUUGAGUUUACCAAUUAUAUCGACUCAAUUUUCCUAACCAAAUCCAAUCUGUGUUAAAUCUGAGUACAUGGGGAUGCGCCAGGAUUUGAAUUAUACCUGGAAUUGACUUUUGUAAUCUGAGGUACAAUUGUAGUAGAAUAGCACUAAAAAGGGACAUUCUAAACUACCAAAAGCAUUAAUGCUCAAUGUUAUAAAGUCAAUAAAGUCAGAUAACUUACUCUACUUUCACAAGUUGUGCAGUUAUAAUAGUACUUAUACCCAUCAGGGCAGGCAUGCUCACUCCAAUCGCACUCUUGUAGAUCCACUGUCUGGGGACUUGGAGGUACUGCAAGUGUAGCAGAAGUAACACUCACUGCUGGAGGAUUGCUUUCAGUCCACGUAGACUCAGGGGUAACCUGCACACCUUGAUGCUGCUCUAAAUUUUGAGGCUGUUUCUUCAUCUCAGAGACGGCUUGUUGAGAUGAUUGCAAACAUUUGUGUGGAACUUGUGUUUGUUGUAAUGGCAUCUGAAACAACUGUGUUGGUGGCUGCUUUACUGGAGGAAGUGAUUGUUCUGUGAUAUGAGGAGCUCAAAGUGUCAGUUCAACUGCAUGGGAAACAGUUUGUGGUUGCAAAUUUUGGGAAAUUUCAAGCAUAGAGUACGAAGCAUUAGGCAAAAAUACACCUUCCCAUGGAAUCGCGGAAAUUGGGUGUCGGCCUGCAGCACAAACUCAACUUGGUACAUGCAGCACAAGGUCAACAGGGAAAGGAAAAUGAAUAAGCAAAAUGUACCUAAUCAUUGGUUCAUGAAAACAUGGACCAAAAAUUUUGUCCACCAAAUGCAUAAUUUCCCCUGAGAAAGAGAGAAAUUAUUGAUUAGGAAUCAUCAGAUGGAAAUUAAAGUUUAGUCUACUUUCAGUCUAUGAUAUGAUUAUCCAAAACUAUCAAAGAUUUAACUGAUAAAUCUAUGUUUGAAUGUCCAUUUGUUUGUGUGGUCUUCCACCUUAAGCAAAAUCGAAGCAAAACUAGUUUGUAUCUGUACUGUCAAGGCAAAGAGCUAACUAAGUAAAUGCAUAACCCAAUUGCAGGCUGUGGGGUUUUGGAAUCAGCACAGACCAUUAGAUAGCCAAAAUAAGUUAAUGAAUUCAAGCAAUUAACCAAAUAGAAGGUUAGUACAUUGCAUAAUCACCGCCACGUACUUGACAAUUCACUAAAAGUUCAUUAAUAGCAGAAAAUAGAUCAACAUUUUUCAUUUAUUUAUUUGCUUAAGCAAAGCACAGAUUAACAGCUUGUGAGACCAUGCAUACGUAUAAAAGCAUAAAUAUAAAGGAAGGAAAACCUUAAUUCUCUAGUCCUACAUUUUAUGGGAUCCACAAAACGAACAAUUACAGGCUGAUCACAACCCUGGAAAUGAUCAGAAAAGCAGAGAGGAUGAGAAAAUACAAUCCAAAAGUAAAAUCAUAAAGAUACACAUAAAAAUAGAAGAUACAAGAUACAGAUAAAAAUAGAAGAUACACUUUAAUUUCACUGUGAAAGUUCCAUUUGAUGCUUUCAUUGCCGCCACUGCCAUAUCUCUGUAAGAAAAUUUAAUAAAUGUGCAUCCUUCAUAAAAGCCCACCAGAAUGCACAAUUUGCCAGUUAAUAGAAACGUGUUUAUAUUCAGAUACAGAAUCAAACAUAACUAGGCCACCAAAACAGAAGAAGACAGGUGGAUAACAUUAUUUCUGCACUAAAAUGGAAGUUCCAGACAAAACAAUUGGUGCAACAAUAAAGUUCGCUAAACAAUUGCAUGUAUCAUAGAACAGUUUUGAUGCCUUUGCUUUUUUGUUCGUUAUGUUGCUCAUUCCGUGAUGAUGCAUGAAGAGACCAUCAAAAGAAACUAUGAUAAUCAUAUGGGACUAAAGACCAGGAUCUAUCUAGGUGAAAUGCACAGCAUUGUGUCUAAAAUAAAGACCAUAGACAAAUUAAAUUCCAUUAUGUCAAUAAUCACAGAUAUUUGAAGCUAAAGAAGCAAGUAAUUAAUAAGGAAGAUGGGCAUACCAUGACUUUGCUUCAGUAUCUUAAGCAAUGUAGGCAUCUUCCACAUGACCAUAUGGAGAAAAUAUCUAACAUGGAAAACAUUCGUACAUAAACCGAAAUCCUAAAAAAAGAAAAUAUAUGAAACAUAGAGUUGAUUUUGGGAAACAUUAUCUGUACAUAAAGUCAAGUAAAAGAUGUACAUUUACAUGGCAUAUGCGCUCAAGUAAAUACACCCACUUGCUGUUGCAUUGUAUAGUGCAUGCAAGUACUGUUACCUAUGCAAUGAAUUUAAUCAUAGACAACAGCAUCCAAGCCAUAGCCUUCAACUUAACAGAUUUUACUGCUGAUUCCAUCCUAACAUACUCUAAUUUCGUCUAAUUUCUUUUUGCAGUUUGCAUUCAUAACCCAUGCAUAUUAUCAUACACCCAAAAAUAUACCAGAAAUGGUGAAUCUCAAAUCUAUUUUGUUGAGCUAGGAUAGAAUAAAUUUCAAUACUCAUUAAAUGUGACUCAUACUUCCUCAAUUUCCUGUUUUGAAGCUUGUUUGUUAAUGGAACCAACAUAGAGUUUGUCAACAAACUCCCCUCCCCCUAUCAUAGGACAAUAAAGAAAUAGUUAACAGGCAAUGAAAACAAAACAUGACAUUGGAGAGAGUAAGAAACAAAUAAAUAUGCUUCAGAUAUACAGGUCAACGAAGACCCAGAGACAGUAACCAAUAGCAGUGUUCCCACACAGCAUGGAAUCUUAUUAUUUAUGGAAACCAAAGAGCAUGAAAAUAGACGCCCAUUUUUCACUUUCUGGAAAAUAUGAUCGACGUAUAGAAAGCCUCAUACAAUACUAGCUGCUGACAUAUUAGCCACAGGUUGCUACCUAAAAAAUUUCCUGUAAGCGAUUCUUAAUUAGUUAUUCCUUGUUCAUGCCUUUGUUUGCAAGUACAAUAAGGCCAUGUUUGGUAUGAUUACGUUGUUUGGUAAAUUUAAUAACAUGGAAUGACAAUUAUAUAAUGUAAUCAAUUAUUCUUAAAGUAGCGUAAUGAUCAUUACAUGCAAAAAUGGAUGUAAUCAUGAUUAUUUGUUUUGAUUUUUUCAUUUAUUGUCAAUAUUACCACCACCAUUACUACUUCGACACACUGUUACCACCAUCACUACUCCAUUUUGUCACCACCACUGCUAAUAUCAUCAUCGCCAUCGCCAUCGCCACUACCACUAUCACUACUACCACCACCACCACCAUCACUACUACCACCACCACCAUCCUAUUACUACCAUCGCUAUCACUACCACUACCACCACUUAACUAUUGCUAUAACCACUUAACCAUUGCCACUUUUACCACCACCUCACCUUGCCACCACCACCACCACCACUUAACAACCGUUGUCAUUGUUGCCACUGCUACCACCACCACUUAGUCACUAUUACCACUCAACUACCAAUCGCUGCAACUAUUACCACUUAUUAUUAAUGUUAUAAAUAAAUUAAAUAUUAAAA
This 5285-nucleotide unclassified non-coding RNA is filed under the name Hevea brasiliensis (rubber tree). Lineage: Eukaryota; Viridiplantae; Streptophyta; Magnoliopsida; Malpighiales; Euphorbiaceae. The record is from RNAcentral.